This 458-nucleotide small RNA is filed under the name Pongo abelii (Sumatran orangutan). Its description in RNAcentral is "retained intron". Lineage: Eukaryota; Metazoa; Chordata; Mammalia; Primates; Hominidae. The record is from RNAcentral.
GUGCAUCCAGAUCAACACCGACUCCAGCCUCCUCAACUCCGAGUUCUGCUUCAUCCUCAAGGUUCCCUUUGAGAGUGAGGACAACCAGGGCAUCGUGUAUGCCUGGGUGGGCCGGGCAUCAGACCCUGACGAAGCCAAGUUGGCAGAAGACAUCCUGAACACCAUGUUUGACACCUCCUACAGCAAGCAGGUCAGGGGGCGGGUGGGCAGGUGGGCACACACAGGGGAGCCAGGGCAGGCAGGGGCCCUGGGCUGGACUGGCCUUUCCCGCAGGUUAUCAACGAAGGUGCUCCAAUGAGAAGGGCUACUUUGCAGUGACUGAGAAAUGCUCUGACUUUUGCCAAGAUGACCUGGCAGAUGAUGACAUCAUGUUGCUAGACAACGGCCAAGAGGUCUACAUGUGGGUGGGGACCCAGACUAGCCAGGUGGAGAUCAAGCUGAGCCUGAAGGCCUGCCAG